Long non-coding RNA from Etheostoma spectabile (orangethroat darter), 127 nucleotides. RefSeq lists it as uncharacterized. The transcript has 3 exons. Lineage: Eukaryota; Metazoa; Chordata; Actinopteri; Perciformes; Percidae. The record is from RefSeq and is a predicted model, not a curated record.
CAGAGAAAGAGGAGAUGUUUUUAAAGGCCCUGAACACCCAUCCAGGUGUUUUCAGUUAAUGUGGCAGAUUGGGCCUCUUCCCAGGACGGUGUGGGUGUCUAUAGACUGAUUGAGUGACUCUUACUGA